GACGAACGCUGGCGGCGUGCUUAACACAUGCGAGUCGAACGGAAAGGCCCUGCUUUUGUGGGGUGCUCGAGUGGCGAACGGGUGAGUAACACGUGAGUAACCUGCCCUUGACUUUGGGAUAACUUCAGGAAACUGGGGCUAAUACCGGAUAGGAGCUCCUGCUGCAUGGUGGGGGUUGGAAAGUUUCGGCGGUUGGGGAUGGACUCGCGGCUUAUCAGCUUGUUGGUGGGGUAGUGGCUUACCAAGGCUUUGACGGGUAGCCGGCCUGAGAGGGUGACCGGCCACAUUGGGACUGAGGUACGGCCCAGACUCCUACGGGAGGCAGCAGUGGAGAAUAUUGCACAAUGGGCGGAAGCCUGAUGCAGCAACGCCGCGUGCGGGAUGACGGCCUUCGGGUUGUAAACCGCUUUCGCCUGUGACGAAGCGUGAGUGACGGUAAUGGGUAAAGAAGCACCGGCUAACUACGUG
Molecule: ribosomal RNA, 468 nt
Filed under: uncultured bacterium
Lineage: Bacteria
Description: partial 16S ribosomal RNA
Rfam family: Bacterial small subunit ribosomal RNA
Source: RNAcentral